GACGAACGCUGGCGGCGUGCUUAACACAUGCAAGUCGAACGGAAAGGCCCUGCUUUUGUGGGGUUCUCGAGUGGCGAACGGGUGAGUAACACGUGAGUAACCUGCCCUUGACUUUGGGAUAACUUCAGGAAACUGGGGCUAAUACCGGAUAUGAGCUCCUGCUGCAUGGUGUGGGUUGGAAAGUUUCGGCGGUUGUGGAUGGACUCGCGGGUUAUCCGCUUGUUGGUGGGGUAGUGGCUUACCAAGGCUUUGACGGGUAGCCGGCCUGAGAGGGUUACCGGGCACAUGGGGACUGAGAGACGGCGCAGAAGCGUACGGGAGGCAGUAGGGGGGAAUAUUGCACAAUGGGCGGAAGCCUGAGGCAGAAACGCCGCGUGCGGGAUGGCGGGCUUCGGGGUGUAAACCGCUGUCGCCUGUGACGAAGAGGGAGUGACGGUAAUGGGUAAAGAAGCACCGGCUAACUACGUG
Molecule: ribosomal RNA, 468 nt
Filed under: uncultured bacterium
Lineage: Bacteria
Description: partial 16S ribosomal RNA
Rfam family: Bacterial small subunit ribosomal RNA
Source: RNAcentral